Molecule: long non-coding RNA, 334 nt
Organism: Rana temporaria (common frog)
Lineage: Eukaryota; Metazoa; Chordata; Amphibia; Anura; Ranidae
Exons: 3
Source: RefSeq, a predicted model, not a curated record
GCGACACUGAUUGGAAGACAUACACUUCUCUGAAUCUAUGAAGGUCUUGUCAUUAGCUGUUUGCACCCCAUGUUCAGUAUGAGUAGUGAAGUGUGCAAUUACCUGGACUGUCACCGAUACACCCAAUGAGGGCUCAUUUCUGACAGUCCUGAAUCCCAUCCUGAUGCUGGAGGAGCGCAGAGGGGAUCGCCGAUCAAAUCUUAGCAUGACGCUGCAAAAUCCUCGUGGCAAACAGGCACAUAAGAGGCGCCAAGGACAAAGGUCCCUCUCCCAGGUGACAAGUAGCAGAUGGCUUUGUCUGCAGAGAGAUUAAAGGAUUUUGCAUGCAUUAGAA